UACGGAGGGGGCGAGCGUUAUUCGGAAUUAUUGGGCGUAAAGGGCGCGUAGGCGGCUUGUCAAGUCAAAGGUGAAAUCCCUCGGCUCAACUGAGGAACUGCCUUUGAAACUAGCGAGCUUGAGGCCGGGAGGGGGUAGCGGAAUUCCCAGUGUAGCGGUGAAAUGCGUAGAUACUGGGAGGAACACCAGUGGCGAAGGCGGCUACCUGGACCGGUUCUGACGCUGAGGCGCGAAAGCGUGGGUAGCAAACAGG
This 253-nucleotide ribosomal RNA is filed under the name uncultured bacterium. RNAcentral describes it as "partial 16S ribosomal RNA". It matches the Rfam family "Bacterial small subunit ribosomal RNA", at positions 524 to 776 of the family's 1533-position model. The record is from RNAcentral.